Long non-coding RNA from Gossypium arboreum, 490 nucleotides. RefSeq lists it as uncharacterized. The transcript is spliced from 2 exons. The record is from RefSeq and is a predicted model, not a curated record. NCBI's taxonomy places the organism in Eukaryota, Viridiplantae, Streptophyta, Magnoliopsida, Malvales, Malvaceae.
UCAUUUUCUAAAAAAAAAACCCUAAAUUAUUUUUAAAAUCUCUUAAUCCCCCACGCAGACCUCGACGGCGCCAAGUAGGCCUCCCCUCUCCGUCAUGGCUCUAACCGGAUUCCUAGGGAUUCGUUAGCCUUUGGAUCGGAGGAGCAAAUGCUGAUUGGAUCGACGCCGAAUGACUGCCGUUCGUGGGCAUGAAGCGUGGUGCGCGUGACUGAGGUAAUGGCGCGCAUGAAAGCUGGCACGAAGGCAGCAGCGGCACAAGGGGAAAAGAGAACCCUAGGGUUCUGAAAAUAUUAAACUUUCGGGCCCUAGCUGGUUUUUUCAUUGAGCCAUUAUAAUUUGAUUUGUGUUUUGGGCUAGGAUAUUAAUUUGGGUAUUGGGUUGGUGAUUUGAAUUUAAUGUUUGGGUCGGAUGUUGGGUUUAUUUUGGUUUGGGCUUUGUUGUAACAAAAGGGACUUAGAUUAUUAACAUUUGUUUUCUAUUUAUUUAUUUA